AGUAACACGUAGAUAACCUGCCCUUUAGUGGGGAAUAACAGCUCGAAAGAGUUGCUAAUACCGCAUACGCUCUCUAUCAAUAGGUAGAGAGGAAAGCUUUAGUGCUGAAGGAGGGGUCUGCGGCGGAUUAGCUAGUUGGUGGGGUAAAGGCCUACCAAGGCGACGAUCCGUAGCUGGUCUGAGAGGACGAUCAGCCACACUGGGACUGAGACACGGCCCAG
This 221-nucleotide ribosomal RNA is filed under the name uncultured bacterium. Its description in RNAcentral is "partial 16S ribosomal RNA". It matches the Rfam family "Bacterial small subunit ribosomal RNA", at positions 109 to 334 of the family's 1533-position model. The record is from RNAcentral.